Molecule: long non-coding RNA, 404 nt
Filed under: Elaeis guineensis (African oil palm)
Lineage: Eukaryota; Viridiplantae; Streptophyta; Magnoliopsida; Arecales; Arecaceae
Description: long non-coding RNA (EGUI_LNC048038)
Source: RNAcentral
ACCACCCUUCUUGCAAAUUUUGCCACUCAAUUUUCUCUUAUUUUUUUUCAAAUUUUUUUCAAGAUUUUUCCAAUGAUUUCCACAUCCCUCUUCUUUGGUUUCAAUCCAAAAUUAUAGUACCAACCAUCUAGGAUGUCCCAUAUAAAUAAGGGACUAAAGGACAUCACAUGAGAUGAAGGGACACCAACCUUUGGCGCUCCAACUUCUCACACAGUGAAUAAAUUCAUUGCGUAAAAUUUUUGAUACAUCAAAUACUUACAAUAGAAGAACUCUUUCUCCUCUACGUAUCAUAAAAAUUUCACAUUAAAUUGGCAUUAAAUCAUAGGAUAUCUAUUUGAGAAAUAAAAACAAUGUGUAUUAGUUAAGAGCCUUCUUUAAGAAGGACUCUCCAUUUCACACACCAA